Molecule: non-coding RNA, 101 nt
Organism: Paramarasmius palmivorus
Lineage: Eukaryota; Fungi; Basidiomycota; Agaricomycetes; Agaricales; Marasmiaceae
Source: the annotation of a GenBank genome assembly
UGCCCCAUGGCUGAGUUGGUUACAGCGUCCGACUGUUAUAACACUCAGUGCAGACAACAUUAAACAUCGGAAGGUCGUGAGUUCGAGCCUCACUGGGGCAG